RNAcentral lists this ribosomal RNA (705 nucleotides) under Psychrobacter sp. Its description in RNAcentral is "bacterial SSU rRNA". It matches the Rfam family "Bacterial small subunit ribosomal RNA", at positions 799 to 1503 of the family's 1533-position model. Lineage: Bacteria; Pseudomonadati; Pseudomonadota; Gammaproteobacteria; Moraxellales; Moraxellaceae. The record is from RNAcentral.
GCAUCGUACGAUGUCUACUAGUCGUUGGGUCCCUUGAGGACUUAGUGACGCAGCUAACGCAAUAAGUAGACCGCCUGGGGAGUACGGCCGCAAGGUUAAAACUCAAAUGAAUUGACGGGGGCCCGCACAAGCGGUGGAGCAUGUGGUUUAAUUCGAUGCAACGCGAAGAACCUUACCUGGUCUUGACAUAUCUAGAAUCCUGCAGAGAUGCGGGAGUGCCUUCGGGAAUUAGAAUACAGGUGCUGCAUGGCUGUCGUCAGCUCGUGUCGUGAGAUGUUGGGUUAAGUCCCGCAACGAGCGCAACCCUUGUCCUUAGUUACCAGCGGGUUAAGCCGGGAACUCUAAGGAUACUGCCAGUGACAAACUGGAGGAAGGCGGGGACGACGUCAAGUCAUCAUGGCCCUUACGACCAGGGCUACACACGUGCUACAAUGGUAGGUACAGAGGGCAGCUACACAGCGAUGUGAUGCGAAUCUCAAAAAGCCUAUCGUAGUCCAGAUUGGAGUCUGCAACUCGACUCCAUGAAGUAGGAAUCGCUAGUAAUCGCGGAUCAGAAUGCCGCGGUGAAUACGUUCCCGGGCCUUGUACACACCGCCCGUCACACCAUGGGAGUUGAUUGCACCAGAAGUGGUUAGCCUAACCGUAAGGAAGGCGAUCACCACGGUGUGGUUGAUGACUGGGGUGAAGUCGUAAAAAGGUAAACCA